RNAcentral lists this non-coding RNA (32 nucleotides) under Homo sapiens (human). Lineage: Eukaryota; Metazoa; Chordata; Mammalia; Primates; Hominidae. The record is from RNAcentral.
UNUCACACCUCUGAGAAGAGCUGGCCUCCAGC